CGCGAAUGGCUCAUUAUAACAGCUAUAAUUUACUUGAUCUUGACACAAUCCUACUUGGAUAACUGUGGUAAUUCUAGAGCUAAUACAUGCAUUAAAGCUCUGACCUCACGGGAAGAGUGCAUUUAUUAGAACAAAACCAAGCGGCUUCGGCUGUUUCUGGUUGACUCAUAGUAACUGAGCUGAUCGCACGGUCUUGCACCGGCGACGUGUCUUUCAAGUAUCUGCCGUAUCAACUUUCGAUGGUAGUGUAUCUGACUACCAUGGUGAUCACGCGUAACGGAGAAUAAGGGUUCGGCUCCGGAGAGUUCGCCUGAGAAAUCGCGAACACAUCUAAGGAAGGCAGCAGGCGCGAAGAUUACCCACUCUCAGCACGAGGAGGUAGUGACGAAAAAUAACGAGACCGUUCUCUUAUGAGGCCGGUCAUCGGAAUGGGUACAAUUUAAACCCUUUAACGAGUAUCUAUGAGAGGGCAAGUCUGGUGCCAGCAGCCGCGGUAAUUCCAGCU
Molecule: ribosomal RNA, 505 nt
Filed under: Cervidellus vexilliger
Lineage: Eukaryota; Metazoa; Nematoda; Chromadorea; Rhabditida; Cephalobidae
Description: SSU rRNA
Rfam family: Eukaryotic small subunit ribosomal RNA
Source: RNAcentral